UUUCUUUUCCAUUUGUUGUUUUUUCUUUGGCUUUCACUUCUCCGUUUGUCAUUUUCCAUUUUCUAUCUGUUUUAUGCUUUCUUUCUUUCAUUUUCAGCUUUGGUUUUCUCUCUAAUCGCUGCGUCGUGGUGUUUUUCUUGCAAAUUGUUAACGGAGCAGGUUGUAUUGUUUGGAAUUAUAGUUUCAGCAAAUUCAGCUUUCUUGGGUUUUGUUGCUAGGUUUUUACAGCUUUAUGCAAACCAAACUUGCCCCCUCUCCACAUCAGCCGCAUCUGCUGCCGCCAUGAUGCUCCAGCACCAGCUCAUGAUGUCCCGAUCAAGCGCCACCGACUCCGACUUUGGUCCCAUGCGAUUGUCUUUGGGAAACAACGGCGACUUUGACCUCUCCAACAACGACGUCGGCGAUGGCUCCUCCUUCAAAUAGCCCAAUUAAGUGGGAGGCGAUGGGGCUUCUCCUGUAAAAUCCUUGCUCAAUGGCUUCGGUGUAUCACUGCAUGGAGCUACUAAUUCUCAGUCUCCAAAUUUUCAACACCCUCGGCAUGCAGAAGACGUCUUUGUUAAAGGUGAUAAUUUUGGCUACUGGCUUUUGUGUGUUGUUAUAGAGUUGAAUUGAAUUUAUUUUUUCUUCUAAGAGUUAAUGUUAUGUAUGGUCUCUCUCUUGGUUAUUUUGUUUUUUUUUUAUUUGGCUUAUUGGUGUUAUACCGUCUGCUUCGUUAGUAGGAAGGUGUGUGAAAAGGGCGUGUAUAUUUCGCCUGUGGAUUUGGUCUUUUUAUUGUUGGAUUUUGUUGUUUUCAGAUUUUAUUUAUUUAUUUUAAUUUUUUUUUGCAGAUUUUGUUGUAACAUGCUGUGUAGGGAGAUUCAAAGAGUAUUGCCAUAACAUGUUGAAUUUAAUCACCAUAUGUUGAUAUACACUUUAUAGGAAUGAAUGUUCCAUUUCUAUGCAUUUGUUUAAUACUGUUAAGUGUAAAGUAGCACAAAAUUUGGCUAUAAUUAUAGGGUGCAUGUGUUAUAAUUGGAUUUUGGCAUCCAAGUAUAAGGAUAAGUCAUUUGUCUAUUUAGUAAUUGUUGUGAUUCUAGCUAUAACCCCACAUUAAGCAAAUUGGAAAAAUAAUGGAUAAGUUUCUUACAUGAUGUUAUGUUUACAGUAACUAUGUUCAUUAGGAACAAGAAUUUCGUCUUUUGUAUUACAAAUUGAACCCCUGUUGGAUAGGUGAGGUGUAGGAGUUUAAUUUGUGUCUUUUAUUUAGUGUAUCUGAUGACAAUUCAGGUUUGAUAAAUUUUUAGUUAUUCCAAUAUUUCUUGAGCUUUUUUUUUUUUAAUUGCUCAUAAAAAAUUGCAUCCAUUUUGAAUAGUUGAAAUGGAAGCUGUGAGGCCAACUCCUCUGGAUCAGUUGCGACCGUACGAAAACGCGGAAAAAAAUUAAAGUCUGCAUAUUUGUCUGUUGACCAAAUUACAAGAUAAUUUAUAAUGUCUUCGGUUUCAAUUCAUCUACUCUAAUUUAUACAUUUUUGUGAUUUCGGAUUUGUACAUGAAUUGAAAUUUAAUUUUUCUGAUUUCAGCUCUCAUUGGGAUCCUUACUCUCCAUCAUUAAAAUCCUUUUUGUGUGAUAUUCGCCUCCAGUCACGGUUGCAAAUACACAAACCGUCAAGGUUAAUUUGGUUUUGUUAAACUAAAGACAUUAGACGAGUGGAACCGGCUGUGUUUUAAA
This is a long non-coding RNA of Pyrus x bretschneideri (Chinese white pear), 1707 nucleotides long. RefSeq lists it as uncharacterized. Lineage: Eukaryota; Viridiplantae; Streptophyta; Magnoliopsida; Rosales; Rosaceae. The record is from RefSeq and is a predicted model, not a curated record. The transcript has 5 exons.